This 490-nucleotide ribosomal RNA is filed under the name uncultured bacterium. RNAcentral's name for it is "bacterial SSU rRNA". It matches the Rfam family "Bacterial small subunit ribosomal RNA", at positions 372 to 883 of the family's 1533-position model. The record is from RNAcentral.
UGGAGGAAACUCUGAUGCAGCGACGCCGCGUGAGUGAAGAAGGUCUUCGGAUCGUAAAACUCUGUCCUUGGUGAAGAUAAUGACGGUAGCCAAGGAGGAAGCCCCGGCUAACUACGUGCCAGCAGCCGCGGUAAUACGUAGGGGGCGAGCGUUGUCCGGAUUUACUGGGCGUAAAGGGUGAGUAGGCGGUAAUAUGUGUCAGAUGUAAAAGGCUAAGGCUUAACCAUAGUUAGCAUUUGAAACUGUAUUACUUGAGUGCAGGAGAGGUAAGUGGAAUUCCUAGUGUAGCGGUGAAAUGCGUAGAUAUUAGGAGGAACACCAGUGGCGAAGGCGACUUACUGGACUGUAACUGACGCUGAGUCACGAAAGCGUGGGUAGCAAACAGGAUUAGAUACCCUGGUAGUCCACGCCGUAAACGAUGAGUGCUAGGUGUUGGGUAGCGAUACUCAGUGCCGAAGUAAACACAAUAAGCACUCCGCCUGGGGAGUAC